Molecule: long non-coding RNA, 1071 nt
Filed under: Piliocolobus tephrosceles (Ugandan red Colobus)
Lineage: Eukaryota; Metazoa; Chordata; Mammalia; Primates; Cercopithecidae
Description: lncRNA (ENSPTEG00000007549.1)
Source: RNAcentral
AAGCGACACGUGGCACAUCUCCUUACAAAAUGAAUCUAUCAUAGCGGCUGUUUUCAGAGGCUUUCCGAAACAGAGUGUGAUCUGGAACAAAUUGUGAAGCCCACGAGCCUGGUGAAACAUUCAUUAUUGAGCACCUGCUGUAUACCUCCUUGAGCUGAGGAGAAGGAUCAAGAGCUCAUGGCCAAGAGGGGACCAGGCCCACCCACAAACACUGUUGAUGUGCGGCCCUGAGCUGCGGCAGGGAUGUGGCAACGCAGAAAGGAACCAGGUGGCACAGAAUGUGGUCCUGUACACAGGCGACUCCAACCUGGGGCUGGAGCCGUUUGAGGCAGCUGGAGAUAUCUUCAACGAGGCCUGGGCGUGGGAGAAAGCCGUGUCCUUCUACCGGGGGACUGGCUGAAUGAGCACGUCGCCUACCACUGGCUGGCCGCCCUGCACCACUUGCUGGGCCAUGGCAAGCUGGCGGAGCACUUCUACCUCAAGGCCCUGUAGCUCUGCAACUCGCCGCUGGAGUUUGAUGAGGAGACCCUCUACUACGUGAAGGUGUACCUGGUGCUCGGUGACAUCAUCUUCUAUGACCUGAAGGUCAGUAGGGAGGGACAGGGCUCGGGGUGUUUCCAGCCCCCUUGGAGUGGGAUCUCCACCCAGAGUCCAGGUGCCUGGGUUCCAGCCUUCCUUAGGAAUGGCCCAGUGGCCUCCCUGGAGCUCUGCACAUGGCUGGAGGAACCGGCAAGGUUCCCAGAUACAACCCAGCUCCCAAGCUGGCCAGGCCCCACCCUCAAGAACUCAGUCUCAGCCUGGGAGGCUGACACAUGAGGGAGCAAUGGUGGCCUCUGGGUAAAGAAGGGGGAUUGUAGUCAGGGGGGCCCUGCUUGAGGAGGUGACACCAAACUGAGUCUUGACAGUCAAGUGUCAAGUUGCAUUUAACAAAACAGGGUCAGGAGAAGGACAUUUUGGAGGACGGCAUCAUCCUCACAUUGAAUCCACAUUGUAAGAUCCAACCCAAAUCCCAGUGCCUCCUCUAGGAAGCCUGCCCAGGGUGCGAGCCUGCACUGAGCAACUCCUUCCUGG